Molecule: transfer RNA, 75 nt
Filed under: Candidatus Uhrbacteria bacterium CG10_big_fil_rev_8_21_14_0_10_48_11
Lineage: Bacteria; Candidatus Uhriibacteriota
Description: tRNA-Glu
Rfam family: tRNA
About the family: Transfer RNA (tRNA) molecules are approximately 80 nucleotides in length.
Source: RNAcentral
GCCGCGUUCGUCUAGUGGCUAGGACACAUGGUUCUCAUCCAUGCAACAGGGGUUCGAUUCCCCUACGCGGCACCA